AGGCGGGCAUUGGGCAAGCACUCAGAAGCAUUUCGUUUGCCUUGAUCCUGGAGGCGCGCGGCCGUCUCCCGCUGCCGAGGAUUUGACGCGAACUCCUGGCAGAUCAGAAAUGUUCAGGCGAACGGCGGUUAUAUUUGUCCGUGGACCCAAUUAAGACUUCGUUGACGGGCAAAUAUGGAACGCUGCAACAAGGACUGGUGUGGAUAGCGUGCUGCGCUGGUCUCGCCAACUGAAAAGAAUUCUGCUAAGACGCAUGCUUGGUUACAAAAGUCUCACGCAAUCGCUUUUCACAUUAAAUUUGGUCGCAAGUGUGCUGUAAAUGCCGACUGCACAAUAUGUGACUGGCCCGCGGCCGCUUUGAAGUUUGUGCGCUGUGGAGCUUGAAGCACUUCUCAGAAUUUCAGCACACUCGCAUUUAUUUCUUUCCCGACAGAAGAACAAUGCAAGUCUCACAUCUCGAUGAGGGUGGCGAUUUACCGUCUCAUAUCUCGACGGUAAAACGUCGCAUCUGCGUACGUGUUCAGGGCCAAGAGCACGAGAACUGGCCGAAAGAAGGGAGCCGAUCCAACAAGAAUGCCGUCCGUUUUAUAUAUAUGUCAGCGCUAUCACGCAGCGAUCACAUGGACUGUACGGUUGCGUUGCACAAGGGCUGAUGCAAACGCUCCGUGCGAACAAUGGUGCAUGUAAAAUUAGUGCAUCUAUACAAUUGCAAAAUAAACAUCUAAAGAG
Long non-coding RNA from Rhipicephalus sanguineus (brown dog tick), 729 nucleotides. RefSeq lists it as uncharacterized. The record is from RefSeq and is a predicted model, not a curated record. The transcript has 5 exons. NCBI's taxonomy places the organism in Eukaryota, Metazoa, Arthropoda, Arachnida, Ixodida, Ixodidae.